Molecule: ribosomal RNA, 429 nt
Filed under: Chloroflexota bacterium
Lineage: Bacteria; Bacillati; Chloroflexota
Description: Chloroflexi bacterium partial 16S ribosomal RNA
Rfam family: Bacterial small subunit ribosomal RNA
Source: RNAcentral
UGGGGAAUAUUGCACAAUGGGCGCAAGCCUGAUGCAGCCAUGCCGCGUGUGUGAAGAAGGCAUUCGGGUUGUAAAGCACUUUCAGCGGGGAGGAAGGCGAUAAGGUUAAUAACCUUGUCGAUUGACGUUACCCGCAGAAGAAGCACCGGCUAACUCCGUGCCAGCAGCCGCGGUAAUACGGAGGGUGCAAGCGUUAAUCGGAAUUACUGGGCGUAAAGCGCACGCAGGCGGUCUGUCAAGUCGGAUGUGAAAUCCCCGGGCUUAACCUGGGAACUGAAUUAGAAACUGGCAGGAUAGAGUCUUGUAGAGGGGGGUAGAAUUCCAGGUGUAGCGGUGAAAUGCGUAGAGAUCUGGAGGAAUACCGGUGGCGAAGGCGGCCCCCUGGACAGAGACCGACGCUCAGGUGCGAAAGCGUGGGGAGCAAACAGG